Molecule: transfer-messenger RNA, 353 nt
Filed under: Clostridiales bacterium
Lineage: Bacteria; Bacillati; Bacillota; Clostridia; Eubacteriales
Also listed under: 1 other name
Rfam family: transfer-messenger RNA
About the family: Bacterial tmRNA, also known as 10Sa RNA or SsrA, is named for its dual tRNA and mRNA-like properties. Its role is to liberate the mRNA from a stalled ribosome.
Source: RNAcentral
GGGGGCGUACAGGUUUCGACGGGGAUUUGGAGUCAUUAGUAGCGAGUCAUGUUUUGCUUGGUAGCAUGUAAAAAACUGGGCAAUAAAUAUAAACGCAAACGAUAAUUACGCUUUAGCAGCUUAAUAAAAGCUGCUCGUUUCUACUAAGUAACCCGCAGCUUAGUAUGAAAUGUCAACUUGGCGGGGAACGUCUUAAGGGGUGCCUUGACCUUAAGUUGUAUAAUUAGGGCUGGUCAAAUCUGUAGUCUGUUGUUGGACGACAGAGGCGACGAGAAUUAAAACAACAACUACACUCGUAGAAGCUAGUGAUAAAGGAUCUUCGGACAGGGGUUCGAUUCCCCUCGCCUCCACCA